GACGAACGCUGGCGGCGUGCCUAACACAUGCAAGUCGAACGGAGAUGUUAAGAGAGAGUAAUUAGCUUGCUAAAAACAAUCAAUUAACAUCUUAGUGGCGGACGGGUGAGUAACGCGUGGGUAACCUGCCUCAUACAGGGGGAUAACACUUAGAAAUAGGUGCUAAUACCGCAUAAGCGCACAGCAUCGCAUGAUGCAGUGUGAAAAGCUCCGGCGGUAUGAGAUGGACCCGCGUCUGAUUAGCUGGUUGGUGGGGUAACGGCCCACCAAGGCGACGAUCAGUAGCCGGCCUGAGAGGGUGAACGGCCACAUUGGGACUGAGACACGGCCCAA
Molecule: ribosomal RNA, 333 nt
Filed under: uncultured bacterium
Lineage: Bacteria
Description: bacterial SSU rRNA
Rfam family: Bacterial small subunit ribosomal RNA
Source: RNAcentral